CUUAACAAAUACUUCACUCUCAUCUCCCUCAUCUCUCCCAAAUCCCCUCCCAAACCCUAGCCGCCCCAAGACCCUUUGUUGGCGGUGCCGCUUCAAACAACCCCAAUCUCCCAAAAAUCUUUACCCCACAAUCCCCACCUCCUUCUCAUCCCAUAUCCCUCCGUUAUUUCUUUCGAAAACCUCCAGAAUCUCUUAAUUUUUAAAUCUAGGAAAUCCUAAAACAUAAAUCCACCCCUUUUCGAUUUUUUCUCAAAUCCCGUUUUGUUUGGGCUUAAAACCAACACCAAUAGACUUCUCUCAUUGAGUGCUAUAAGUUGCCAUUGGUUUUGUCUCGUUUCAAGGUCGUCGGUUGCCGGUCAAUUCACUAUUGACCGGCCAGAACUAUUGGGAGUCCUUUGAUGUUGACCGGAUUAUGGCUAAUAUCGUCGCAUACAACAUUAGUUACACUCUCAAGCAUAAGCCAGUGCUUGUGUGGCGAUGCCGGCCAUCGUCCGAAAUUCUUUUCUUUUCGGUCCAUAGUGUUUCACAUGAACAAUUACAAAAGCUAAGAAUCCGAAGAAACAUUCUCAAGAAAACUUCAAAAAAGAUGAGGUUUCAGCUUUUCGAGUCCUUGUUAGAAUUUCAGGGCAUAUAUUUGAAGCUGUUCUUUUUCUGGCAUGUUUGGUUGUGCUUGUUGCUUGCUUUGAAGCUGAUUUUUCUCUCUGGAGUUUUCAGCUCUAUUGGGCUCUAAUCCUUUCUCUGUAUUCAUCUUUUCCAAACAUUUUGCCUACUCCUUAUGGGCUUAGAAAUGAAUGAAGUUUUCAUGAUGAUAUGGUUGCUGGUAGUGAAGUUGAGUUGUGGUUUAUGAAUUUCCCUAUUAAUUGGUUUGUAAUGCUUUAAGGCUUGAGAUCCUACCGAUCCUUCAUAAUCCCCAUGAAUAUCCAUGAUUCACUAUUUCCUUUUGUGCAAUUUAUUUUAGAUGAAAAUGAUCCAAAUUUAGCUUGCCCGUGGU
Molecule: non-coding RNA, 991 nt
Organism: Nicotiana tabacum (common tobacco)
Lineage: Eukaryota; Viridiplantae; Streptophyta; Magnoliopsida; Solanales; Solanaceae
Source: RefSeq, a predicted model, not a curated record